RNAcentral lists this ribosomal RNA (429 nucleotides) under Chloroflexota bacterium. RNAcentral's name for it is "Chloroflexi bacterium partial 16S ribosomal RNA". It matches the Rfam family "Bacterial small subunit ribosomal RNA", at positions 355 to 776 of the family's 1533-position model. The record is from RNAcentral. Lineage: Bacteria; Bacillati; Chloroflexota.
UGGGGAAUAUUGCACAAUGGGCGCAAGCCUGAUGCAGCCAUGCCGCGUGUAUGAAGAAGGCCUUCGGGUUGUAAAGUACUUUCAGCGGGGAGGAAGGGAGUAAAGUUAAUACCUUUGCUCAUUGACGUUACCCGCAGAAGAAGCACCGGCUAACUCCGUGCCAGCAGCCGCGGUAAUACGGAGGGUGCAAGCGUUAAUCGGAAUUACUGGGCGUAAAGCGCACGCAGGCGGUUUGUUAAGUCAGAUGUGAAAUCCCCGGGCUCAACCUGGGAAGUGCAUCUGAUACUGGAAAGCUUGAGUCUCGUAGAGGGGGGUAGAAUUCCAGGUGUAGCGGUGAAAUGCGUAGAGAUCUGGAGGAAUACCGGUGGCGAAGGCGGCCCCCUGGACGAAGACUGACGCUCAGGUGCGAAAGCGUGGGGAGCAAACAGG